Molecule: unclassified non-coding RNA, 309 nt
Filed under: uncultured fungus
Lineage: Eukaryota; Fungi
Description: partial contains 18S rRNA, ITS1, 5.8S rRNA, ITS2 and 28S rRNA
Source: RNAcentral
AAGGAUCAUUAGAAAAAACGAGGAUUAAUCUUCCUUGGGGAUCCGACUGACAUCUAUCAUCGGUAUCUUUACCUUCGACCUGGACUGAGCUGAUAGAGAGCCCCUCCGGGUGAUUUAUCGAAUUGCCGCAGGUGAUUGGUCUAUCCAUGUGAACUUCCCUGUUGCUUUGGCAGCUUCCCCUCCAUCAUGGAUGAGUUGUAAGCCUGCCAAUAGCUCCUACCAAAACACUCUCUUGAUAUUUUUGAACUGUCUGAGCAAUGAGAAAGGCAAAUUAUUAUAAAACUUUCAACAACGGAUCUCUUGGUUCUC